GACGAACGCUGGCGGCGUGCUUAACACAUGCAAGUCGAACGGAAAGGCCCUGCUUUUGUGGGGUGCUCGAGUGGCGAACGGGUGAGUAACACGUGAGUAACCUGCCCUUGACUUUGGGAUAACUUCAGGAAACUGGGGCUAAUACCGGAUAGGAGCUCCUGCUGCAUGUUGGGGGUUGGAAAGUUUCGGCGGUUGGGGAUGGACUCGCGUCUUAUCAGCUUGUUGGUUGGGUUGUGGCUUACCAAGGCUUUGACGGGUAGCCGGCCUGAGAGGGUGACCGGCGAGAUUGGGACUGAGAUACGGCCCAGACUCCUACGGGAGGCAGCAGUGGGGAAUAUUGCACAAUGGGCGGAAGCCUGAUGAAGCAACGCCGCGUGCGGGAUGACGGCCUUCGGGUUGUAAACCGCUUUCGCCUGUGACGAAGCGUGAGUGACGGUAAUGGGUAAAGAAGCACCGGCUAACUACGUG
Molecule: ribosomal RNA, 468 nt
Filed under: uncultured bacterium
Lineage: Bacteria
Description: partial 16S ribosomal RNA
Rfam family: Bacterial small subunit ribosomal RNA
Source: RNAcentral